RNAcentral lists this long non-coding RNA (326 nucleotides) under Mytilus galloprovincialis (Mediterranean mussel). The record is from RNAcentral. Lineage: Eukaryota; Metazoa; Mollusca; Bivalvia; Mytilida; Mytilidae.
UCUCAAAGCAAAAUGUAUAAAUUCAGUGUAAGACUUAAGUUUCUAGGGACAACAUCAUAAGACCAAUGUGCAUGAUAAAGUAAAAAUGGAAUUCACAUAGUUAAGUCUGUGGCUGCCGUUUUUUUUUAAACUCAUGAUCAAGUUCAUAACAAAAUUACUAGAUUACAAAAAGAAUGCAACACUAACAGAAUACAGAAGGGCAAUCAAUGAACAAAAGACAAAUAAAUAAGAAAUAUUGAUCCCGAAAAAAUCAGGGCUACGUCUGAGGGAAAACAGAAGUUGCUUCUUGCAAGGCACUCGCUGUGAACACAAUUUGAUAUGGAGAC